CCUACGGGGGGCUGCAGUGGGGAAUAUUGGACAAUGGGGGGAACCCUGAUCCAGCCAUGCCGCGUGUGUGAAGAAGGCCCUCGGGUUGUAAAGCACUUUCAGUGAGGAAGAACGCCUGGUGGUUAAUACCCAUCAGGAAAGACAUCACUCACAGAAGAAGCACCGGCUAACUCCGUGCCAGCAGCCGCGGUAAUACGGAGGGUGCGAGCGUUAAUCGGAAUUACUGGGCGUAAAGCGCGCGUAGGUGGCUUGAUAAGCCGGUUGUGAAAGCCCCGGGCUCAACCUGGGAACGGCAUCCGGAACUGGCAAGCUAGAGUGCAGGAGAGGAAGGUAGAAUUCCCGGUGUAGCGGUGAAAUGCGUAGAGAUCGGGAGGAAUACCAGUGGCGAAGGCGGCCUUCUGGACUGACACUGACACUGAGGUGCGAAAGCGUGGGUAGCAAACAGGAUUAGAUACCCGGGUAGUC
RNAcentral lists this ribosomal RNA (465 nucleotides) under Vreelandella stevensii. RNAcentral describes it as "partial 16S ribosomal RNA". It matches the Rfam family "Bacterial small subunit ribosomal RNA", at positions 338 to 795 of the family's 1533-position model. Lineage: Bacteria; Pseudomonadati; Pseudomonadota; Gammaproteobacteria; Oceanospirillales; Halomonadaceae. The record is from RNAcentral.